CUCCGGAGCCACUCGGUGAAGAUGCGCCCUUCCGUGCGGUGCGCGCCGCCCGCGGAGGGCCAGGCUCCAGGGUAAACGGGCUGGCAGACUACAAAAGGAUGCGGACGAAUGUACCCGCGAGCUUUCUCUCUGAGUCUUCCCGGAGCUCUGGGGCUAGCGGGAUCUUGAAAAGCGUCCCAGUGAACCACGGCUGUUUUCCUUGGGAGGAAGAGGACGCGACAGGGCAAAGGGAACACAGUCUAUUCUCUGUGCGCUAAGGCUGAACUUUGAGGAAGGGUUUUACUACCCGGGAACAAAGUCAAGAAUGGAAGAAGAAAGAAAGGGUAUGGAGAACCAGACAAGAGGUCCGUAAAGCUUGUACUAUCUGACUUCAAUUAAUUAGAGUGAGGAGAAUGAGAAAAUAGACACAAUAUGCUUAUAAUAUUUAUGCAAUGUUGACUUU
Molecule: long non-coding RNA, 442 nt
Filed under: Capra hircus (goat)
Lineage: Eukaryota; Metazoa; Chordata; Mammalia; Artiodactyla; Bovidae
Description: lncRNA (ENSCHIG00000004326.1)
Source: RNAcentral